RNAcentral lists this ribosomal RNA (449 nucleotides) under uncultured bacterium. RNAcentral describes it as "partial 16S ribosomal RNA". It matches the Rfam family "Bacterial small subunit ribosomal RNA", at positions 29 to 523 of the family's 1533-position model. The record is from RNAcentral.
AACGAACGCUGGCGGCAUGCCUAACACAUGCAAGUCGAACGAACCCUUCGGGGUUAGUGGCGCACGGGUGCGUAACACGUGGGAAUCUGCCCUUUGCUUCGGAAUAACAGUUAGAAAUGACUGCUAAUACCGGAUAAUGUCGUAAGACCAAAGAUUUAUCGGCAAAGGAUGAGCCCGCGUAGGAUUAGCUUGUUGGUGGGGUAAUGGCCCACCUAGGCGACGAUCCUUAGCUGGUCUGAGAGGAUGAUCAGCCACACUGGGACUGAGACACGGCCCAGACUCCUACGGGAGGCAGCAGUGGGGAAUAUUGGACAAUGGGCGAAAGCCUGAUCCAGCAAUGCCGCGUGAGUGAUGAAGGCCUUAGGGUUGUAAAGCUCUUUUACCAGGGAUGAUAAUGACAGUACCUGGAGAAUAAGCUCCGGCUAACUCCGUGCCAGCAGCCGCCGUAA